GCCCGGAUAACUCAGUCGGUAGAGCAUCAGACUUUUAAUCUGAGGGUCCUGGGUUCAAGUCCCUGAUUGGGUG
This 73-nucleotide transfer RNA is filed under the name Danio rerio (zebrafish). It matches the Rfam family "tRNA". Rfam says of the family: Transfer RNA (tRNA) molecules are approximately 80 nucleotides in length. Their secondary structure includes four short double-helical elements and three loops (D, anti-codon, and T loops). The record is from Rfam by way of RNAcentral. Lineage: Eukaryota; Metazoa; Chordata; Actinopteri; Cypriniformes; Danionidae.